CUACAUCAAUUUUUGGUAUCAGAGCCUAAAAUUGAGCCAACGUUCCAUUGCUUUCUACAAAAUUACUAAACCUCCCAUUCAAUUCUUCCCACUCCUUAGAUCCCCACCUGUGUUUUUGUCCUUCAAAAUUUUUCCUUGUUAACUACAGCUCAAAAAAAAAAGCAAAAGUCAAAAACUAGAAGAAUCCAACAACUCGUCAUCAGCCAAUCUGUUUCUUCGCAUCGUCGGAACUUCAGUCCAAUGCACCUAGACCUUUAACCCGACAGAUCGAGUUUUCGGAUCAGCUUCCACCAACAAACUCAUCCUUGUUUUCAAUAGAAACAACUCUUAAAAACUAAAUUUUGAUUUUUUUUUUUUCCUUCAAGGUAUGUUUUCUUACUUCAAAUGCUAUGGAAACUUAUAUUAAAAGAGCUUGAAGAAUGCAAGAAUGAAUACUAUGUUCAAAAAAACUCAUCAACAAGUUAAAGAUA
RNAcentral lists this unclassified non-coding RNA (470 nucleotides) under Hevea brasiliensis (rubber tree). The record is from RNAcentral. Lineage: Eukaryota; Viridiplantae; Streptophyta; Magnoliopsida; Malpighiales; Euphorbiaceae.